GGAAUGGUGGGAUAUCAUGCUUUCAGGGUGUGCAUGUCAUCACCCCCUGUCUUCCUCAAUGGAUUAUAUUAAUAUGCUGGCCUCAGUACAAUGCGUUCCAGACAAAGAGGGAGUUGUGGUUCCAGUAAUGAAUGAAAAAGACAAGGAAGUGAGAGAGCAGGAAACUGAGAUAGAGGCAUACUGGAAUAGAGAUCAGGGGAUAAUCAGAAAGAGGCUAAACAAUCAUUAACCACACAGUUUCUAUACUGUUUGACCCUUCAAGCAUAUAAACAUACACACAUUAUGACAGAUUGUACAAUUGCACAGUGAGAUUAGCGUUCAUUUACACUGAGGAACAUGGAGCAGUCAGAAAAUGCACUUCAUAUUAUGAAAUGGGUACAUGUAUUCCACUAGCUUAUCAUAUUAACUGACCACCACGUAACGAACUGUUAAACUCCGUUUAUGACGAGGAAAUAGUUGGAUCAUAUAUCCCAUAAGCGUCAUGGAGGAAAGCCCCGGUACACGUGACGCAACCAACAAGAACACGGAAACCCCACCCCGUGACAUCACCUUUGGAUGCUCAAAAAUGCAUUUGUGAGUGAAGUCAACCUCCGAAGAUGUUGCAAGGUGUGGCUGUCAUAAAUCCCUGUGAGAGUUGUGAGGGCCACCUAUAUGAAAUGACUUGGGGAUGAACACUGGGUGUGUUUGAAGCCCACUGCCCUGCUUUGGGGGUCAUACUCAAGACUCAUCUGUUCAUAAUCACCUACCUGUAGCAACGGCAAAUCCCACACUCUCAAUCUGUGUUGUUUUCUCAUACUAUUUCUUUUGUUUCUGUUUGUUUUCUGUUCCUUUGUACAGCGUCUUUGGGUCCCUGAA
Esox lucius (northern pike) is the source of this 855-nucleotide long non-coding RNA. RefSeq lists it as uncharacterized. Lineage: Eukaryota; Metazoa; Chordata; Actinopteri; Esociformes; Esocidae. The record is from RefSeq and is a predicted model, not a curated record. The transcript is spliced from 3 exons.